This 253-nucleotide ribosomal RNA is filed under the name uncultured bacterium. Its description in RNAcentral is "partial 16S ribosomal RNA". It matches the Rfam family "Bacterial small subunit ribosomal RNA", at positions 524 to 776 of the family's 1533-position model. The record is from RNAcentral.
GACGAAGGGGGCUAGCGUUGUUCGGAAUUACUGGGCGUAAAGCGCGCGUAGGCGGUCUUUCAAGUCAGGAGUGAAAGCCCCGGGCUCAACCCGGGAAUAGCUCUUGAUACUGUUGGACUUGAGUCCGGGAGAGGAUAGUGGAAUUCCCAGUGUAGAGGUGAAAUUCGUAGAUAUUGGGAAGAACACCAGUGGCGAAGGCGGCUAUCUGGACCGGUACUGACGCUGAGAAGCGAAAGCAUGGGGAGCGAACAGG